AUGGAAGUGUUUCAAAAGAGGAAGUGUUUUCUCAAAUUGACCUUGCUCUAACCAAAUUGAUUGAGGAUAGGAAAGCAACUUCAGGAACUCUGGCUGCAUAGUUGUGGAACAUGAAUAGGUGGAAUACUUCAUAGAGAUCGAAGAAACAGAAGUUGUCAAUUCCUUACAUAGGGGUGUGUUCUUGGACUUGUAUAAUUUUUCAUUUUAAAUGCCCUCAUUCAAUCGUCAGUUUCUUGUAAAUUAGCAGUUGAUUCUUGUGCAAAUUUUUGUUAGCCA
Molecule: unclassified non-coding RNA, 276 nt
Filed under: Hevea brasiliensis (rubber tree)
Lineage: Eukaryota; Viridiplantae; Streptophyta; Magnoliopsida; Malpighiales; Euphorbiaceae
Source: RNAcentral